This is a long non-coding RNA of Mercurialis annua (annual mercury), 713 nucleotides long. RefSeq lists it as uncharacterized. The record is from RefSeq and is a predicted model, not a curated record. The transcript is spliced from 2 exons. Lineage: Eukaryota; Viridiplantae; Streptophyta; Magnoliopsida; Malpighiales; Euphorbiaceae.
ACUUUUGAAAUUGUCGGCCCAAUUUCACACUUGACAGUCUCAGUCUAAUCCUCUUCUCUUCCAUUACUUUCGCCGUCUGCAAUUUCAUUUCGGUCAUCACCGCCAUCAAAUCACAAAAAACAAAUUCAUAAAAAAUGAAGAAGGGAAUUCACCCUCAGAUGCAGUGGAUUUCAUAUGUGACACAAAGUGGUAGACUAAUGCACAUUAUGAUGACUAAAAUUCACAAUGUUGGUAAAGUCUACCACUUCAGGGCAAGAAGGCAAAUGGCUGAAAGUUUAGGACAAGUUGCCAAGUUUAAGCGUCGAUAUGGACAGGAAGACUCUGAAGACACUGCAAAAUGACUUCUUUUAUGAGGCAAGGCAAAGCAUGGUAAUGGUGCUUAGUUUUCUUAUUCAUUUUGUUUCAAAAAAGACAAAAAUAUAGUGAGGGCUUUAGCAUGCAAUAAAAUAUUUUAUCUACGGGAACCCAAAUUUUGAGAACAGAUUAUUUUUGAAAUGCUUAAUUUUUGGAACAGUUAGUUAGCAACAGUCAUACCAUUGCUCAAUUAUAAUUAUUGCAAGAAGCUUUUUCAAAUUUAGUUCAUUUGGCUGCUAUGAAAGGAAAAUAUUAGGCAAACUUUGUACUUUUCUUGAUUUUAUAGCUUGUGUGUGAGGAAUAUAUUUCUCUUAUGAAUCUGUUAUCUGAUGAGUUUAAAGCUGAUAUUGUUUUCAGAA